RNAcentral lists this ribosomal RNA (451 nucleotides) under uncultured bacterium. Its description in RNAcentral is "partial 16S ribosomal RNA". It matches the Rfam family "Bacterial small subunit ribosomal RNA", at positions 354 to 796 of the family's 1533-position model. The record is from RNAcentral.
GUGGGGAAUAUUGGACAAUGGGGGGAACCCUGAUCCAGCCAUGCCGCGUGUGUGAAGAAGGCCUUUUGGUUGUAAAGCACUUUAAGCGAGGAGGAGGCUACCGAGAUUAAUACUCUUGGAUAGUGGACGUUACUCGCAGAAUAAGCACCGGCUAACUCUGUGCCAGCAGCCGCGGUAAUACAGAGGGUGCGAGCGUUAAUCGGAUUUACUGGGCGUAAAGCGCGCGUAGGUGGUUAAUUAAGUCAAAUGUGAAAUCCCCGAGCUUAGCUUGGGAAUUGCAUUCGAUACUGGUUAGCUAGAGUAUGGGAGAGGAUGGUAGAAUUCCAGGUGUAGCGGUGAAAUGCGUAGAGAGCUGGAGGAAUACCGAUGGCGAAGGCAGCCAUCUGGCCUAAUACUGACACUGAGGUGCGAAAGCAUGGGGAGCAAACAGGAUUAGAUACCCCUGUAGUCC